RNAcentral lists this long non-coding RNA (428 nucleotides) under Daucus carota (carrot). RNAcentral's name for it is "long non-coding RNA (DCAR_LNC003057)". Lineage: Eukaryota; Viridiplantae; Streptophyta; Magnoliopsida; Apiales; Apiaceae. The record is from RNAcentral.
CGGGAACAACAAAAGCAGGAUUAAAGGCAAGCAUUUCAUUUUCAGCGAAGAAGUUAUCGAUGUUCUUGUUCAACACCAAUCGCCCCACUGGCUGCAGAGGGAAAAUGUCCUCAGGCCAGGUCUUUGUGACAUCAAGGGGAUCAAAAUCGAGCCUGUCUUCUUGAUCUGGGUCCAUGGUCUGAAUGAAUAGCUUCCACUCGGGAUAAUUUCCUGCUGCAAUCGAGUCAUACAGAUCUUGAGUGGCAUGGCUGUGAUUAGUACCUCCUACUCUGAUGGCUUCUUCCUCUAAUAAGUUCUUCACUCCACAAGUAGGCCUCCAGUGAAACUUAACAUAGGUUGCUUUGCCAGCCUUGUUAAGAAGAGUAAAAGUGUGAACUCCAGAGCCAUCCAUGUGCCUGUAAUCUUGUGGAACACCAAUGUCAUCAUAG